Papaver somniferum (opium poppy) is the source of this 767-nucleotide long non-coding RNA. RefSeq lists it as uncharacterized. NCBI's taxonomy places the organism in Eukaryota, Viridiplantae, Streptophyta, Magnoliopsida, Ranunculales, Papaveraceae. The record is from RefSeq and is a predicted model, not a curated record. The transcript is spliced from 3 exons.
CUUUUUCUUCUCCGGAUCUGUUGAUAUCUCGAAAUUUCAGCACAGGAUCUCAACAAAAUCAUCUCUAAAAAUCACUCAAAUUAUCCCGCGAAAUUAACCCGCGAAUUUUCGAUUUCCCCUUUAAUUUCUCUGAAAUCUCCCAAAGAAAUGCUGCAUAAAUCUCUUCACUUUUCUCUGAAUCCAUCGCGUACUCUCACGAUCUCACCGUCCCAAGAACAAACCUUUUUUGGUUGUUCAUUCAGAUCGGCCUUCAUACCAAGGUUAAAGAGAUAACCUAAGGUGUGACUAUGGAGACAUUGAUGUAUAUUUGCAACCUAUUAUGGAAGAAUUGAAAGAAUUAUGGGGCGUCGGUGGUAAGACGUACGAUUCUUCUUUAGCUAUGCUCUCUAGGCAGAGCACCAAGAGGCAGUUGGAACUGCCAAUAAAGAAGUAUCUGCGGAACAAACGACAUCUUGAAGGGUGCUUGAUGGACCUAAUAAUGGAAGAGGACUUGCUCCACUUGACUUCGAGAUACUUGAGUUAUGCUGAGACACACCUGCUAAAACAACGGAAGAGAGUUGUAUGACUGCACUCGAUUAGGCCAAGAGUUCUAUCUUUCUGUGUUAAUUCAAACUAGUCAUGAUUCAGGUGGUCUUAACUCAUAAGAAACAAUAUGGUCUUAAAAUACCUUUCAAUUCUUAUUUCGAGUAAGUUGAUUGAUUGUACGGAUACUAAAAUUUCUGGAACUCAUUAAUAAUAAUAAAUACAUAAGAUCACUUGUUAAGCUA